Molecule: microRNA precursor, 101 nt
Filed under: Daphnia pulex (common water flea)
Lineage: Eukaryota; Metazoa; Arthropoda; Branchiopoda; Diplostraca; Daphniidae
Description: microRNA dpu-mir-96 precursor
Gene: dpu-mir-96
Source: miRBase by way of RNAcentral
AAGUAGGAUCAAAUUUUCAAUUUGGCACUGGCACAAUUUUGCCAACUUUAAAAUAUGUUUUUAAGCAUCUCCCCCUUGGGCUUUAAAAAAUGUUAAACAAA